Molecule: ribosomal RNA, 253 nt
Filed under: uncultured bacterium
Lineage: Bacteria
Description: partial 16S ribosomal RNA
Rfam family: Bacterial small subunit ribosomal RNA
Source: RNAcentral
AACGGGGGGGGCAAGUGUUCUUCGGAAUUACUGGGCGUAAAGCGCACGUAGGCGGAUAUUUAAGUCAGGGGUGAAAUCCCAGAGCUCAACUCUGGAACUGCCUUUGAUACUGGGUAUCUCGAGUAUGGAAGAGGUAAGUGGAAUUCCGAGUGUAGAGGUGAAAUUCGUAGAUAUUCGGAGGAACACCAGUGGCGAAGGCGGCUUACUGGUCCAUUACUGACGCUGAGGUGCGAAAGCGUGGGGAGCAAACAGG